This 343-nucleotide unclassified non-coding RNA is filed under the name soil metagenome. Its description in RNAcentral is "partial contains 5.8S ribosomal RNA, internal transcribed spacer 2, and large subunit ribosomal RNA". The stretch from base 1 to 120 matches the Rfam family "5.8S ribosomal RNA", at positions 35 to 154 of the family's 154-position model. The record is from RNAcentral.
GAUGAAGAACGCAGCGAAAUGCGAUAAGUAAUGUGAAUUGCAGAAUUCAGUGAAUCAUCGAAUCUUUGAACGCACAUUGCGCCCGCUAGUAUUCUGGCGGGCAUGCCUGUCCGAGCGUCAUUUCAACCCUCAAGCCCCCGGGCUUGGUGUUGGGGAUCGGCGAGCCUCCGCGCCCGCCGUCCCCUAAAUCUAGUGGCGGUCUCGCUGUAGCUUCCUCUGCGUAGUAGCACACCUCGCACUGGGAAACAGCGCGGCCACGCCGUUAAACCCCCAACUUCUGAACGUUUGACCUCGGAUCUGGUAGGAAUACCCGCUGAACUUAAGCAUAUCAAUAAGCGGAGGA